This 378-nucleotide unclassified non-coding RNA is filed under the name uncultured Gammaproteobacteria bacterium. RNAcentral describes it as "contains 16S-23S intergenic spacer region". Lineage: Bacteria; Pseudomonadati; Pseudomonadota; Gammaproteobacteria. The record is from RNAcentral.
UCCGGUUUGUCACCGGCAGUCUCAUUAGAGUGCCCAACUCAAUGUAGCAACUAAUGACAAGGGUUGCGCUCGUUGCGGGACUUAACCCAACAUCUCACGACACGAGCUGACGACAGCCAUGCAGCACCUGUGUUCCCGUUCCCUUUCGGGCACACCCGGCUUUCACCGGGCUCCAGGACAUGUCAAGGGUAGGUAAGGUUUUUCGCGUUGCAUCGAAUUAAUCCACAUAAUCCACCGCUUGUGCGGGUCCCCGUCAAUUCCUUUGAGUUUUAACCUUGCGGCCGUACUCCCCAGGCGGUCGACUUCACGCGUUAGCUGCGGUACUAAGGAAGUCUCCUUCCCCAACACCUAGUUCGCAUCGUUUAGGGCGUGGACUAC